AGAGGUGGGUGGAGUGGCCGGUAGAGAUUCAGUAUCACUGAGAAUCAUUCCCUAAUCUUGUAGAUCUCCAAACACAACUACUGUGCUCUGCUACU
Chelonoidis abingdonii (Abingdon island giant tortoise) is the source of this 95-nucleotide non-coding RNA. The record is from RefSeq and is a predicted model, not a curated record. NCBI's taxonomy places the organism in Eukaryota, Metazoa, Chordata, Testudines, Testudinidae.